RNAcentral lists this ribosomal RNA (511 nucleotides) under Phataginus tetradactyla (long-tailed pangolin). Its description in RNAcentral is "Manis tetradactyla (long-tailed pangolin) partial 16S ribosomal RNA". It matches the Rfam family "Bacterial large subunit ribosomal RNA", at positions 1818 to 2569 of the family's 2925-position model. Lineage: Eukaryota; Metazoa; Chordata; Mammalia; Pholidota; Manidae. The record is from RNAcentral.
ACCUCUAGCAUAACUAGUAUUAGAGGCACUGCCUGCCCAGUGACCAUGUUAAACGGCCGCGGUAUCCUGACCGUGCAAAGGUAGCAUAAUCACUUGUUCUCUAAAUAAGGACUAGUAUGAAUGGCCAAACGAGGGUUUUACUGUCUCUCAUUUAUAAUCAGUGAAAUUGACCUCCCCGUGAAGAGGCGGGGAUAAUAAAAUAAGACGAGAAGACCCUAUGGAGCUUUAAUUAUAAGCUUAAAAUUACUCAACUCCAUCUCCAAGGGGAUUAAAAACCAAUUAUAUAAGCAAUUAAUUUUGAUUGGGGUGAUCUCGGAGAAAAAAAUAACCUCCGAGCGGUUUAAAAUCAGACCUACAAGUCUAAAAACCCGUCAAUUGAUCCAAUAUUUGAUCAACGGAACAAGUUACCCUAGGGAUAACAGCGCAAUCCUAUUCAAGAGUUCCUAUCGACAAUAGGGUUUACGACCUCGAUGUUGGAUCAGGACAUCCCAAUGGCGCAGCUGCUAUUAAU